UAAAAAGGUUUAAAGUAGAAAUAUAUUUAUUAGUACUUCUAUAUAUUUUAUAGCGGACAAGAUCUUUUAAUUAACGGAAAAAUGAAAAUUAUUACUUUAUUCCUUGUUGUAGCAUGUAUUGUUGCCGCUGCAGUGGCAGCUCCAGAUAAUUAUAAUGCCCAAGGCGUUGCUAAUUCCGGAUAUUGGAAUCAGGGAGGCAAAUAAUUUAAAUAAUUUAAUUCUUUUAUAUUUAUAAAAUAAAUAAAUUUAUAAAUUGUAUUAAAUUUA
Long non-coding RNA from Lucilia cuprina (Australian sheep blowfly), 267 nucleotides. RefSeq lists it as uncharacterized. NCBI's taxonomy places the organism in Eukaryota, Metazoa, Arthropoda, Insecta, Diptera, Calliphoridae. The record is from RefSeq and is a predicted model, not a curated record. The transcript has 2 exons.